This 31-nucleotide non-coding RNA is filed under the name Rattus norvegicus (Norway rat). Lineage: Eukaryota; Metazoa; Chordata; Mammalia; Rodentia; Muridae. The record is from RNAcentral.
UACAUACCUGUGACUAUCACAAGGUGGCAGU